UGGGGAAUAUUGGACAAUGGGCGAAAGCCUGAUCCAGCCAUGCCGCGUGUGUGAAGAAGGUCUUCGGAUUGUAAAGCACUUUAAGUUGGGAGGAAGGGCAGUAAGCGAAUACCUUGCUGUUUUGACGUUACCGACAGAAUAAGCACCGGCUAACUCUGUGCCAGCAGCCGCGGUAAUACAGAGGGUGCAAGCGUUAAUCGGAAUUACUGGGCGUAAAGCGCGCGUAGGUGGUUCGUUAAGUUGAAUGUGAAAGCCCCGGGCUCAACCUGGGAACUGCAUCCAAAACUGGCGAGCUAGAGUAGGGCAGAGGGUGGUGGAAAUUCCUGUGUAGCGGUGAAAUGCGUAGAUAUAGGAAGGAACACCAGUGGCGAAGGCGACCACCUGGGCUCAUACUGACACUGAGGUGCGAAAGCGUGGGGAGCAAACAGGA
RNAcentral lists this ribosomal RNA (430 nucleotides) under Pseudomonadota bacterium. RNAcentral's name for it is "Proteobacteria bacterium partial 16S ribosomal RNA". It matches the Rfam family "Bacterial small subunit ribosomal RNA", at positions 355 to 777 of the family's 1533-position model. Lineage: Bacteria; Pseudomonadati; Pseudomonadota. The record is from RNAcentral.